RNAcentral lists this ribosomal RNA (292 nucleotides) under uncultured Alphaproteobacteria bacterium. RNAcentral describes it as "partial 16S ribosomal RNA". Lineage: Bacteria; Pseudomonadati; Pseudomonadota; Alphaproteobacteria. The record is from RNAcentral.
GGACUACUGGGGUUUCUAAUCCUGUUUGAUCCCCACGCUGUCGCGCAUGAGCGUCAGAAACGGGCCAGUGAGCCGCCUUCGCCACCGGUGUUCUUCCCAAUAUCUACGAAUUUCACCUCUACACUGGGAAUUCCACUCACCUCUCCCGUACUCGAGCCAAACAGUUUCAAUGGCAAUUCCGGAGUUGAGCUCCGGGCUUUCACCACUGACUUGGAUGGCCGCCUGCGCGCGCUUUACGCCCAGUAAUUCCGAACAACGCUAGCCCCCUUCGUAUUACCGCGGCUGCUGGCAC